RNAcentral lists this transfer RNA (84 nucleotides) under Eubacteriales bacterium. RNAcentral describes it as "tRNA-Leu". It matches the Rfam family "tRNA". Rfam says of the family: Transfer RNA (tRNA) molecules are approximately 80 nucleotides in length. Their secondary structure includes four short double-helical elements and three loops (D, anti-codon, and T loops). Further hydrogen bonds mediate the characteristic L-shaped molecular structure. tRNAs have two regions of fundamental functional importance: the anti-codon, which is responsible for specific mRNA codon recognition, and the 3' end, to which the tRNAs corresponding amino acid is attached (by aminoacyl-tRNA synthetases). tRNAs cope with the degeneracy of the genetic code in two manners: having more than one tRNA (with a specific anti-codon) for a particular amino acid; and 'wobble' base-pairing, i.e. permitting non-standard base-pairing at the 3rd anti-codon position. Lineage: Bacteria; Bacillati; Bacillota; Clostridia; Eubacteriales. The record is from RNAcentral.
GCGGGUAUGGCGAAAUUGGUAUACGCAGUAGAUUUAGGUUCUGCCUCCUUAGGAUUACAGGUUCGAGUCCUGCUACCCGCACCA